UGUGGUGGGGGCCGGGGUGGGGCCAUGGAAGCUAAUACAUGGUGCACUAGGUCACACGACGGACACUGGGGGGUGGGUGGGGAGGAGAAGGGGGAAGGGAGGGGGAUAAGGAGGUUCCCCCCCGCAGUUAUCUCUGGGAGAAAAGAGUGUCCUGGACUGGCUGAGAAGGGGUUAAAAACCAGCCGCCUUCACCACCCCCACCCCCCACCGAGACUGUCCCCAACUCCCUCCCUGCCACCCAGCAAUCCCCCACACAAGGGGCAGAGGGCACUGACACCAUACACACACCUGCAGCGGCACCGCGGAGAGAACACCCCCGCCCCCCGCCCCCCACCUCCACUACGGCGUCCAGGCGGCUGACUGCAGUGGAGCGGAAUCGCGGAAUCGCGAUAGCAGGGCUGGCUGUCGCGACUCCACGAGGGCCAAGACCAGCCUCCCCGGCCAUGCAGCGCCCCAACUCGGGCAUCGCGCUCCGGUUCUCCCCCCCGUAACAUCCAGUUCAGGCUUUCGAGACAACCAGCUUUUGGGGUUCCUGACGGCAGGGCGGCAGGUGCGUGGCCAGCAGCGAAAGCCUGCCUGACUGUGGUGAUCGGUGUUCACCCAAAUCAGCAGCCUGGACGCCCCAAAUGCCAAACUCAUCGCCACUCUUAGUUAACAUCUUUUUCCACCGCUCAGUCUAUCACAGCCUCUAUUCCUGGUACUGAAAGAGCAAUACUCAGCGCGGGGGAAUCCUCUCACUUUCCAAACGGCAGGCCACCAAUCAGAAACAAAAUCAGGAGGGAGAGGGAUGGAGGAACAGGCAGUAGAAAGAGAACAAGGGGAUAUUGAGUGAUUUCAGGUUAGGAAGGGGGAAAAGAAAUACCACUCUGAGAAAAGUGGUACCGUAUUCUUCCCGAGUAUAGGUCCCCCACUGUCUAUUAAGUCAACUCUUAGCAAACUCCAUUUGGGCUACUCAUAAUUCCCACCUACAAGGCAUUAGGGCAGAUAAAGAUGGCAUGAUCUUUGCCUUCUGAUCCCUUAAUAAUUAUUGCAGUGAAGCCUCCUUGCCCAUGCAGAGAUGGCCGGGACAGGGUGAAAGAAGGUAGCUGGGGCAGGUUGGCUCAGAGCCCCCUGGGAUGGGGGAUGAAGGAGGUGAAUUUGGCACAUUGAACCCCUUCUUGUCAUAAGUGCUUUGAGGUCCUUCUCUCAAAUCCAGUUGGCACCAUCCCUCAGGCCAGCAGAAGAGGGGUUGAGCUUGUCUCCCCCUCCCCAAUUUCUACGGAUUUGUCUGAAGGAGGUGAGUGGGGUUCUCCCCGGCUGGUGGAAAUUGGGGGAUCCAAAAGAUUAGGAGUUAAAUGAAGGGAAGUUUUUUUUUUUUUUUUUUUUCCUCUCUUUUGUUUUUUCUUACAAAAGAUUCUAAGAAAACUUGGGGGUGGGAGGGGUGAAGAAGGGAGACCCAGUUGAGCUAAGUGUCCACAGACUUUUUUUCAAUGCCUCUUAGGGGCCUCCUCAAAGAGAGAUGGUCCCAUUUCCUCCCCUCUAUCUGAGGUUCCCUCCCCCCAGAGCGGCUCAGUUCCAAGGAAGUUUGGCACUUUUUUUUAAUUAAUGGGAAACAGAGGAAAGGAGAGGGUUGAGAGUUGAGGAAAAAGACAGACAUAGACAAAGAUAGAGACAAGACAGGUAACAAUGGGAACCACGGGGAGAGAAAGUGAAAGACUUAGGGAACCAGAGCAGGAGGAAAAUGCUGGGUGGGAUGGGUGUUGGGGGCUGGAGGGCAAAUAGGGAAGAACAAGGAAACAAUUCAAUGCAGCAAACACUUACUAAGCACCGGUUGGGUGCUGAAGAGCAGGGUGCAGGGAGGCCACUCAGAGUCUCUCAGAUCUGAUUGGCUAACAGGGAAGGUGGGGGAGGGGAAAGGUGAUGGGUUUUUCAAUGAUUCCCCAUCGUUGACCCCACAUCUGCGUCCCCUCUAGACAAACUGCAGCACAAAAGAUUGAGGUCAGAUUGCAGAAGGGACUUUCCAGGGAUGGGGAAGACAGUGGAGUGGUAAAAUGGAGAAAGAUGUGUGGCUCUCCACUCACCAACACAGUGAGUGAACUAGCUGACUGAGCUAGCAAACUACCUUUCAGAUAGCCCUGGCUGGCGGGGUAGGGGGUCCCCGAAAAAUGUGAACAGGGAGGGGGCUGUCACACAGAUACCCCAAGGGAACACUUUUCAGGAGGCCCAGCCUCCAGAGAUGUGUCUGUGUGAGAGGAGUACUGGAUCCCACUGACUGGGACCCAGAAAUAGGUCUACAGAAAGCAUCUAACAAACUAGAAGGGCAACUGAGGAUGCAAAUGAUAUGCAAACGAGUGCUUUCAAAUCCCACCUCCCCACUCCCAGACCUUACUUCACCUCUUCCUGGCUCCUUCCCCUGCUUAUGGGGGCCUGGGGAGUUGUAGGGGGGGAUAUUCCAGCUCGAUACUGCAGUCUCCACAUGUGGGUGGAGAUGCUGUGAAAUACUGUAAGGUCUUUUGAGAGGUGGAGGGAAGCAGUGGCCCGUAGGACCACCUCCACCUCCUACCCCAAGAGCCCCCAACUGCAGAAGAUAUGUACAAGGUUACAUCAAGAAUUGUUUUGGCACUCAAAUCUCCAUCCGGGUUUAGUCUGGAGAUUAGGGGUGACGGCAGCAGCGAUGGGAGGUGAAGGAUGAGGAAAUGGGGCCUGCCCCCUACCCUGGAGAUGAAGAGGGCAUGGAAAAAGUCACCCUAGUGCCCAAGCUACAGCCUCCCAUCAGGGCUGUGGUGGGAAAUUCAGUGCAAGGUACCUUGAAGGCUAUUGCUUUCUAGGGAUUUUCACAUUUUGAUUUGGGGGUGGCUCUCUAGCAAGGGGCAGGGGCCUUCCAGGCUUUAGGGGUAGGAAUUGUCUCUGGCUUUUCUCCUCUCCUGUUUUGGGAGACAGACGAGGAGGCCGGAUUCCCCCAAAGCCAUGGAGAAGAGAAGGGUCUGGAAGACCUGUGAGGGGGACAAUUGGGGGAGAGGGUGGGCAGGGGGUGCCCCUCCCCCAGAGAUGCUGAUGAUGGAACCAGGGCACCAGGGUCCCUGCUUUGGGCUGGAGGAAGUGGAGGUGGUCUCCAUGAGGGAGGGGGAGAUGGAUGGGGUAGAGAUGGGUCUCAGCUCUCCUAAGUCCAUAGGGUUGUCAGGCCCUGACAUCUCAGCCUGCCAACAAGGCCUUAGAGCUGACCACAGCCGCAGUGCCCAGGGAGCCACUCUCAAACCAACUCUCAGGGCUGCCUGGCUUGGCAGACUUCAUCAGAACAUUCUAGAUCCUCAGAGCCUAUGGUGAGAGCACCAAAACAUUCCGAUCCAUCAGAGACCACCAAAGUACUCCAGUUUGCCGGAAACCACGAGUCAAUCUAAUGCAUUAGACCACACAAAGCAUUCCAGCUCAAGGGACCCUACCAUGGCUCAUUGCAUUCUCCUGGGCCACCGUGGCCUGACAGAGCCACCAUACAUUUGGCUCACCAGACUUAAUGAAACAAAGCCACGCAGACACAAGCAUGCACACAGAAGGCGGGGGUGGGAAAGAGGGUCUUUAACAGUUUUCACCAGCUCCAUCUCCCACCCCUCCCUGCCAGGUGAGUUCUGACUUGGUGUGUUUGGAUGGAGGUGACCCCGAAAAUAGUGGGUCUUUUUCCUUAUAGUCCUCCAGAUUAGAUCCAAGUCCCACGCCUUAUUCUUCUUCUAGGAAGACCCUCAGGCCAAAACCCACCACGGAGGGGUGUGGGUAGAGGAGGAUCAGUGACUGGCCAUGGCCUGAUACAGGAAGUACAUGCUUCAUCCCGAUGAUGUCACAGGAAGUAACCUAGAGACACCACAGUAAGUGCAUGCCCCUAUGACAUCUUGGAAGUAACCUUCAAGGAAGGCUCAUUGAGACAUCACAGGAAGUACCUGUCUCUCCUAUCAUCACAGGAAGUAACCUCUGGGGAACUACUUCCUGGGACAUCAUACAAAGUGCCAGAAGCACCCCAGGAAAGUACUUGACUCAGUGACAUCACAACAAAGACCUCAUACCCAUUAUUCUAGGAAAAGCCAUAGGAGAUGCCACAGGAAGUUGUUCCAGCCUCUUGCCAGUGCCAGUCUUGCCCACGAGACUGGCCCAAUCCCAGAGCCGGCCUUAUUCCCAGCAGCACCGCACCCCUCCC
Molecule: long non-coding RNA, 4162 nt
Organism: Bos taurus (domestic cattle)
Lineage: Eukaryota; Metazoa; Chordata; Mammalia; Artiodactyla; Bovidae
Source: Ensembl